GACGAACGCUGGCGGCGUGCUUAACACACGCAAGUCGAACGAUGAAGCUGGAGCUUGCUCCGGUGGAUUAGUGGCGAACGGGUGAGUAACACGUGAGCAAUCUGCCCUUGACUCUGGGAUAACUGCGGGAAACUGUAGCUAAUACCGGAUACUUUCACUGGUAGGCAUCUUCUGGUGAAGAAAGAAUUUCGGUCAAGGAUGAGCUCGCGGCCUAUCAGCUUGUCGGUGAGGUAACGGCUCACCAAGGCGACGACGGGUAGCCGGCCUGAGAGGGUGACCGGCCACACUGGGACUGAGACACGGCCCAGACUCCUACGGGAGGCAGCAGUGGGGAAUAUUGCACAAUGGGCGCAAGCCUGAUGCAGCAACGCCGCGUGAGGGAUGAAGGCCUUCGGGUUGUAAACCUCUUUUAGCAGGGAAGAAGCGAAAGUGACGGUACCUGCAGAAAAAGCACCGGCUAACUACGUGCCAGCCGCCGCGGUAA
RNAcentral lists this ribosomal RNA (484 nucleotides) under uncultured bacterium. Its description in RNAcentral is "partial 16S ribosomal RNA". It matches the Rfam family "Bacterial small subunit ribosomal RNA", at positions 28 to 523 of the family's 1533-position model. The record is from RNAcentral.